This 92-nucleotide transfer RNA is filed under the name Candidatus Pelagibacter sp. RNAcentral's name for it is "tRNA-Ser". It matches the Rfam family "tRNA". From Rfam's summary of the family: Transfer RNA (tRNA) molecules are approximately 80 nucleotides in length. Their secondary structure includes four short double-helical elements and three loops (D, anti-codon, and T loops). The record is from RNAcentral. Lineage: Bacteria; Pseudomonadati; Pseudomonadota; Alphaproteobacteria; Candidatus Pelagibacterales; Candidatus Pelagibacteraceae.
GGAANGGUGGCUGAGCACGGUUGAAAGCACUGGUCUUGAAAACCAGCAAUGGGGCAACUCAUUCGUGGGUUCGAAUCCCACCCNUUCCGCCA